Molecule: ribosomal RNA, 1372 nt
Filed under: uncultured bacterium
Lineage: Bacteria
Description: bacterial SSU rRNA
Rfam family: Bacterial small subunit ribosomal RNA
Source: RNAcentral
GAUGAACGCUGGCGGCGUGCCUAAUACAUGCAAGUCGAGCGAACAGACGAGAAGCUUGCUUCUCUGAUGUUAGCGGCGGACGGGUGAGUAACACGUGGAUAACCUACCUAUAAGACUGGGAUAACUUCGGGAAACCGGAGCUAAUACCGGAUAAUAUUUUGAACCGCAUGGUUCAAAAGUGAAAGACGGUCUUGCUGUCACUUAUAGAUGGAUCCGCGCUGCAUUAGCUAGUUGGUAAGGUAACGGCUUACCAAGGCAACGAUGCAUAGCCGACCUGAGAGGGUGAUCGGCCACACUGGAACUGAGACACGGUCCAGACUCCUACGGGAGGCAGCAGUAGGGAAUCUUCCGCAAUGGGCGAAAGCCUGACGGAGCAACGCCGCGUGAGUGAUGAAGGUCUUCGGAUCGUAAAACUCUGUUAUUAGGGAAGAACAUAUGUGUAAGUAACUGUGCACAUCUUGACGGUACCUAAUCAGAAAGCCACGGCUAACUACGUGCCAGCAGCCGCGGUAAUACGUAGGUGGCAAGCGUUAUCCGGAAUUAUUGGGCGUAAAGCGCGCGUAGGCGGUUUUUUAAGUCUGAUGUGAAAGCCCACGGCUCAACCGUGGAGGGUCAUUGGAAACUGGAAAACUUGAGUGCAGAAGAGGAAAGUGGAAUUCCAUGUGUAGCGGUGAAAUGCGCAGAGAUAUGGAGGAACACCAGUGGCGAAGGCGACUUUCUGGUCUGUAACUGACGCUGAUGUGCGAAAGCGUGGGGAUCAAACAGGAUUAGAUACCCUGGUAGUCCACGCCGUAAACGAUGAGUGCUAAGUGUUAGGGGGUUUCCGCCCCUUAGUGCUGCAGCUAACGCAUUAAGCACUCCGCCUGGGGAGUACGACCGCAAGGUUGAAACUCAAAGGAAUUGACGGGGACCCGCACAAGCGGUGGAGCAUGUGGUUUAAUUCGAAGCAACGCGAAGAACCUUACCAAAUCUUGACAUCCUUUGACAACUCUAGAGAUAGAGCUUUCCCCUUCGGGGGACAAAGUGACAGGUGGUGCAUGGUUGUCGUCAGCUCGUGUCGUGAGAUGUUGGGUUAAGUCCCGCAACGAGCGCAACCCUUAAGCUUAGUUGCCAUCAUUAAGUUGGGCACUCUAAGUUGACUGCCGGUGACAAACCGGAGGAAGGUGGGGAUGACGUCAAAUCAUCAUGCCCCUUAUGAUUUGGGCUACACACGUGCUACAAUGGACAAUACAAAGGGCAGCGAAACCGCGAGGUCAAGCAAAUCCCAUAAAGUUGUUCUCAGUUCGGAUUGUAGUCUGCAACUCGACUACAUGAAGCUGGAAUCGCUAGUAAUCGUAGAUCAGCAUGCUACGGUGAAUACGUUCCCGGGUCU